GACGAACGCUGGCGGCGUGCUUAACACAUGCAAGUCGAACGGAAAGGCCCUGCUUUCGUGGGGUGCUCGAGUGGCGAACGGGUGAGUAACACGUGAGUAACCUGCCCUUGACUUUGGGAUAACUUCAGGAAACUGAGGCUAAUACCGGAUCGGAGCUCCUGCUCCAUGGUGGGGGUUGGAAAGUUUCGGCGGUUGGGGAUGGACUGGCGGCUUAUCGGCUUGUUGGUGGGGUAGUGGCUUACCCAGGCUGGGACGGGUAGCCGGCCUGAGAGGGUGACCGGCGACAUUGGGACUGAGAGACGGACCAGACUGCUACGGGAGGCAGCAGUGGGGAAUAUGGCACAAUGGGCGGAAGCCUGAGGCAGCAACGCCGCGUGCGGGAUGACGGCCUUCUGGGUGUAAACCGCAUUCGCCUGUGACGAAGCGUUAGUGACGGUAAUGGGUAAAGAAGCACCGGCUAACUACGUG
Molecule: ribosomal RNA, 468 nt
Filed under: uncultured bacterium
Lineage: Bacteria
Description: partial 16S ribosomal RNA
Rfam family: Bacterial small subunit ribosomal RNA
Source: RNAcentral